UACGGAGGGGGUUAGCGUUGUUCGGAAUUACUGGGCGUAAAGCGCGCGUAGGCGGAUUAGAAAGUUGGGGGUGAAAUCCCGGGGCUCAACCCCGGAACUGCCUCCAAAACUACUAGUCUAGAGUUCGAGAGAGGUGAGUGGAAUUCCGAGUGUAGAGGUGAGAUUCGUAGAUAUUCGGAGGAACACCAGUGGCGAAGGCGGCUCACUGGCUCGAUACUGACGCUGAGGUGCGAAAGUGUGGGGAGCAAACAGG
RNAcentral lists this ribosomal RNA (253 nucleotides) under uncultured bacterium. RNAcentral's name for it is "partial 16S ribosomal RNA". It matches the Rfam family "Bacterial small subunit ribosomal RNA", at positions 524 to 776 of the family's 1533-position model. The record is from RNAcentral.